CUACGUGCCAGCAGCCGCGGUAAUACGUAGGUGGCAAGCGUUGUCCGGAAUUAUUGGGCGUAAAGCGCGCGCAGGCGGAUCUGCCAGUCUGUCUUAAAAGUUCGGGGCUUAACCCCGUGAUGGGAUGGAAACUGCCAAUCUAGAGUAUCGGAGAGGAAAGUGGAAUUCCUAGUGUAGCGGUGAAAUGCGUAGAUAUUAGGAAGAACACCAGUGGCGAAGGCGACUUUCUGGACGAAAACUGACGCUGAGGCGCGAAAGCCAGGGGAGCGAACGGGAUUAGAUACCCCGGUAGUCCUGGCCGUAAACGAUGGGUACUAGGUGUAGGAGGUAUCGACCCCUUCUGUGCCGGAGUUAACGCAAUAAGUACCCCGCCUGGGGAGUACGACCGCAAGGUUGAAACUCAAAGGAAUUGACGGGGGCCCGCACAAGCGGUGGAGUAUGUGGUUUAAUUCGACGCAACGCGAAGAACCUUACCAGGUCUUGACAU
Molecule: ribosomal RNA, 487 nt
Filed under: uncultured bacterium
Lineage: Bacteria
Description: bacterial SSU rRNA
Rfam family: Bacterial small subunit ribosomal RNA
Source: RNAcentral